RNAcentral lists this unclassified non-coding RNA (329 nucleotides) under soil metagenome. RNAcentral's name for it is "partial contains 5.8S ribosomal RNA, internal transcribed spacer 2, and large subunit ribosomal RNA". The stretch from base 1 to 120 matches the Rfam family "5.8S ribosomal RNA", at positions 35 to 154 of the family's 154-position model. The record is from RNAcentral.
GAUGAAGAACGCAGCGAAAUGCGAUAAGUAGUGUGAAUUGCAGAAUUCAGUGAAUCAUCGAAUCUUUGAACGCACAUUGCGCCCCUUGGUAUCCCGAGGGGCAUGCCUGUUCGAGCGUCAUUUCACCACUCAAGCCUGGCUUGGUGUUGGGCGACGUCCCCUUUGGGGACGCGCCUCGAAACGCUCGGCGGCGUGGCACCGGCUUUAAGCGUAGCAGAAUCUUUCGCUUUGGAAGUCGGGGCCCCGUCUGCCGGAAGACCUACUCGCAAGGUUGACCUCUGAUCAGGCAGGGAUACCCGCUGAACUUAAGCAUAUCAAUAAGCGGAGGA